ACUCAUCAUACAGUUUGCAACCUGGUGUCAUCCCAACCAAUUUUGAUGUCCAACAAUUACAGGAAAUGCCUAACCUGCCUAGUCCAAGAAGAAAUCUUCAUGAAUCUGAGAACAACAAUGCUAUGAGAAGUCCCACGAUUGCUCUCUGUUCUUGUGAAGGAUCUCCCAUCGCCACCAUCAUUCACCUAAUGGCCGAAAUGAGUUCACGAGAUGAACUUAAAAACAGACUCCGAAGACAGUUAGUGAUAACAAUCCAGCAACGUGAUGAGUAUCAGAGGAGAGACAGAGAAGCCAAAGCCAAAGUGAGGAUGUUUGAGAGAAAGGCCAUUGUGUUGAGGGCACAGGUCAGUGCUUUACAACCAGGUCAAUUCCAUUUACCAUCUGGUCAGAUCUCAAACAACUUGAUGCGAGCCAGCAGACAAAUACAGGUAGGUUUACUUUUCUGGCUUGAUUAGGAUGUGUAGGUAGGGCUGUAUUUUUGUGCAGAUGCUGAAAGCUAAAGACAAAUGGGGUGACAAUUCCUUAAACACAACGAGGGCCAAACUUGUGUUAAAAUUAGAUGUAGAACUUUUAGCUUUAUUUUGAUCUCUUCCAGGAACUGCGUGAACAGGCUAGACAGUAUCAAAUGCCUAUUCCGAUAAGAACUGCUCGUGGAUCUCAGAACAGUGCUAUGAGAUGCCAUGGUGACACUCUCUGUUCUUCUUGUGGCCAACCUCUCACCUCAAUCAGUAUACGCCUACGGCGGUGAUAAAAUCCCGGCAAGCACUGAAAAACACCUUUCGAAGACAAUUCGCGCUGAUAAUCCAGCAACGUGAUGAGCUCAGAGCCAGAGAAGCUGAAGCUAAAGGAAGGAUUUUGGAGAGAAGGCACAUCCUGAUGAAGGCACAAGUCAGAGCUGUGCAUGAGGCCUACCUAAGAGAUAUCAAGUUAGGUAAUCUCAGCAACCCAUAACCAAAUGUUGUGUGAACCAGGGGAUGUGAUGUUUGUGAGAACUUUAUCAAAUAACUUCCAAUUUAUUUGUCACUUACCCAAGUGGUGAGAAAUGGCUAGUUAUUUGAUGCAAGAUGAUUUGCAGUUGACAGCAAGUCAAUAGCCUUAUGACAGGGUUCUCUCAUGAGAGAGUUAGAUGAAAGAAUGAAAAUAUACAAUCAAUUCCAUGCAUUCGUGCAUAACAAAUUCCAUGCAUAAUUCCUUUGAAUACCAUAAUGAUCUUAGCUUUUCUGUACAAUAUUUUAAUACAAAUGUAUACAUUGUAUAUAUUAAUUUUCCCUUUUACCUAUAUUAAAGUGGAUGAGAAAUUCAUUUCUAAUUGUGUGUACGUAACAUAAACCAAUGACUCUAAAGGAGUGUAGGCUAUGUCAUGACGUUGCCCUCUUUGGGUACAGCAGCACUAUUUCCCCCUCCCUCUGCACUAUUCCCCCCCUCCCUCUGCUCCAGCCCUUUUCUAUGCAUCAUUCCCCUACCUCUCACACCCAGGCUGCUGUGGUCAGAAGAGGUAGUAAAUUCCUAGAGAAGAUCCUGCCUCAUGGCCAGACAGUAUAGAGAGAGUGAGUUUUCAUAGAGAGAACAAAGGAGUUUCUUCCAUCUCACAGAACUGGAGAACCAAACAACAUUUAUGUUCUGGAGAAGGUAUAAAAGAUUGAAGAAUCCGGCUACGAACUGGUCCGUUUGGUACAAUUUUGUGAAACUCAUGGGAGACAAUACAGCCACAUUACCAUAACGCUGUUUAUACAAUAGCCUCAGUUAGGAGGCUUACAUAUUUGUUGUAUAAGAUGAAUGAGUGAGGGUGAUACUGUUUGUGAAAUUGUGUAAUGUGAUUUUGGACUGUUCAAUGAAGGAAACUCCAAUUCCCUAAAAAGUUUCACUAAGUCAUUAGCAUGCCCCCAGGGCACAGACAGGACCUGGCAUCAUGAGACAGACUUUUUCUAUGUCCCGAAUAAAACCCCCACGUGGGUUUUCUAUCAGCAGACCGAGCUUACCUCAAUUACAAGAUGGCUAAAGGUUGCAGAACAGUUUAUUACGAGAGGGCCAAGGUUUGAGUAGAGACCAUAAACCUAAGGUUUGAGUAGAUGGCUGAAUCUUUUAACCAUACCACGUGGUUAAACUCUUAGACUAUCGACACCGACAGAAUAAGAACAAGUCUGAUAUUAAUUACUAGUCUUCAGCUAGGAAUUCGGCAUCAUUGAAUGCGAAGACCAACAACCGCCGAAACAUCUAUUCUAUAACGACGAGAGAGAAAAAACUCUCCAACAAAAACAAACUUUUCAACAGAGAUCCUGAUGACACACUGAGCGUAAAUAUAUAUUGAUUGCAAUUGUUCCCAAAUGAGUGAGCGUUCACGUGCAAAGGAUUAGCAUUUAAAUUGUUAUAUUUAUCCCUCUAACAAGCCACCAUACCGGUUUAGCCCACUAGGGCACAUCCCCCUAUCAUUUCUUUGUAACCAUAUCU
This is a long non-coding RNA of Oncorhynchus tshawytscha (Chinook salmon), 2448 nucleotides long. NCBI's taxonomy places the organism in Eukaryota, Metazoa, Chordata, Actinopteri, Salmoniformes, Salmonidae. The record is from Ensembl.